AUGUGGACAGCCGGGUUCCUUCGCCCCGUGCACACGGACCUGACAACCGCUCGCUACGUCGUGUCAGCC
RNAcentral lists this small RNA (69 nucleotides) under Xanthomonas sp. 3075. RNAcentral's name for it is "sRNA sX9". It matches the Rfam family "Xanthomonas sRNA sX9". The record is from RNAcentral. Lineage: Bacteria; Pseudomonadati; Pseudomonadota; Gammaproteobacteria; Lysobacterales; Lysobacteraceae.